RNAcentral lists this ribosomal RNA (451 nucleotides) under uncultured bacterium. RNAcentral's name for it is "bacterial SSU rRNA". It matches the Rfam family "Bacterial small subunit ribosomal RNA", at positions 42 to 474 of the family's 1533-position model. The record is from RNAcentral.
UCAGGCCUAACACAUGCAAGUCGAGCGAGGACAGUCCUUCGGGGCUGAGCCGAGCGGCGACGGGUGCGUAACACGUGAGCAACCUGUCUCCGUGCGGGGGAUAACCCGGGGAAACUCGGGCUAAUACCGCAUGGUCGGACCUCUCGCCUGGGGGGUUCGGGAAAGAUGGCCUCUUAACAAUGCUAUCGUGCGGAGAGGGGCUCGCGGGCUAUCAGCUGGUUGGUGAGGUAAUGGCUCACCAAGGCGACGACGGCUAGGGGGUCUGAGAGGACGACCCCCCACAUUGGAACUGAGACACGGUCCAGACUCCUACGGGAGGCAGCAGUGGGGAAUUUUGGGCAAUGGCCGAAAGGCUGACCCAGCGACGCCGCGUGCGGGAGGACGCCCUUCGGGGUGUAAACCGCUGUCAGAGGGGACGAAAGGCCGGGGUGGGAAUACUGCCGGAGUGACA